CUCUCUCUCUCUCUCUCUCUCUCUCUCGCACGCUGUCGGCAUACCAGACUCGGAAUUGACUUUUUUGGUACCAAUGAACCAGGUUAGGUACUUUCGGAUGCAUAGAAAGUACUUACGUUCGUGGUUAAGCUGCGUCAGAGAGGCUUUGGGGAUGAAUCAAGCCAUCCUAGAAUCUAAUAUAUACGAAUUGAAUGGAUUUGGAAGAUAUGUUUAUUUCAAAUGUUAUCGAAGUUCCCCCUCACUCACCCGGGCGGAGUGGAAAAAUUUGGGCGGCUUUUCCGAUGCCCUACGCCCCUGUCCACCCAGCAGUGAAUGGGUACCAGGUAUUAAUCGGGGGUUGUGUCCCGUCUCCUGGGGUCUGUUCCCUUCUCCUAUAAUUCCUUCCCCUUCUGUCUCUCUCCGGCAUAUGACCACAGAUGUUGCGCCGACUAAACGAAACUUUUUUUUCCCUCCCUCACUCCCUGGCCCCCCAAAAAAGCUUCAACUAAUGCUUAACUUCAAUCAAAAAUAACCAAAAAAAAUGAAAUAAGAAUCGAAAGGAAUGGAUAUGGAAGACGCUAUUUAUCAGCUUAAUUGAAAUGUUAUAUACGAAAUGAUUGAAUUUGGAAGAUAUGUUUAUUUGAAAUGUUAUCGAAGUCCCCCCUCCCCCCCACUCCCUCCCCCCCAAAAAUACUUCAACUAAUACUUAACUACUAUCAAAAACAACUCGGCCUGCUGUGUUAUCCUUCUUAUGGGGUGUUACUGCAGGAAGCAAGAGAGAGGAAGUCGAACGUUUUGGGAUUUCCACACGUUUUUGAGCAAGCAAACGUUUCCAGACUUGCACCCCCCCACUGUUGAUAAGGGUUUGGUAGAGGCCGUGUCAGUAUUUCCAUGGGUAGUUUUAUGAGUCUUGUGGUAGUGUGACAAGGCUUUGGUAGAGGUUAUGUUAGUAUGUCCAUGGGUAGUUUUAUGAGCCUUGUGAUAGUGUGACAAGGCUUUGGUAGAGGUUGUGUUAGUAUGUCCAUGGGUAGUUUUAUGAGCCUAGUGAUAGUGUGACAAGGCUUUGGUAGAGGUUAUGUUAGUAUGUCCAUGGGUAGUUUUAUGAGCCUAGUGAUAGUUAGACAAGGCUUUGGUAGAGGUUGUGUUAGUAUGUCCAUGGGUAGUUUUAUGAGCCUUGUGAUAGUUAGACAAGGCUUUAGCACCGUAGAUUCGUAACCCAGAGAUGAAACUUUAGAAUCCGAUUGUGUUUGUAAAAUUCGUAAGGAUCAGAAAAUAAUAAUAAUAAAAUAAAAACUCUUGUGGACCGGAAAAGUAGAGAAACACUGAUGUCAUUUCAAGAACAACAGUAGCCCAGGGUGUUGCAAGGUGUCCCUUCCUGAGUGUUCUGUGUUGUCCUGUUGAGAAUACAGGUAAAUAUGUAUCGAGGGAAAACUAUACGAAUUAUUUGAAAGUGAAGGAAAGUAGAGAAUCAGUGAAGAAUGAAGGAAAAUUACUGUAUGGCUGACAACACACACACACACACACACACACACACUCUUAUAUUAUAUCAACUUGUCUCGAUUUACAAGCAUUCAAUUUUUAUAUAUAGUAUUUUGUUUACCCUUUGCUGUCAGCCAAACACACACACACACACACACACACACACACACACACACACACACACACACACACACACACACACACACACACA
Long non-coding RNA from Eriocheir sinensis (Chinese mitten crab), 1669 nucleotides. RefSeq lists it as uncharacterized. NCBI's taxonomy places the organism in Eukaryota, Metazoa, Arthropoda, Malacostraca, Decapoda, Varunidae. The transcript has 2 exons. The record is from RefSeq and is a predicted model, not a curated record.